ACGUAGGGGGCAAGCGUUAUCCGGAAUUAUUGGGCGUAAAGAGUGCGUAGGUGGUUUUUUAAGCGUGAGGUGAAAGGCAAUAGCUUAACUAUUGUAAGCCUUGCGAACUGGAAGACUUGAGUGCAGGAGAGGAAAGUGGAAUUCCUAGUGUAGCGGUGAAAUGCGUAGAUAUUAGGAGGAACACCAGUGGCGAAGGCGGCUUCCUGGACCGAUACUGACGCUGAGACGCGAAAGCGUGGGGAGCAAACAG
Molecule: ribosomal RNA, 250 nt
Filed under: uncultured prokaryote
Description: partial 16S rRNA
Rfam family: Bacterial small subunit ribosomal RNA
Source: RNAcentral